UACGUAGGUGGCAAGCGUUGUCCGGAUUUACUGGGCGUAAAGAGCGCGCAGGCGGUCGUUCAAGUCGCGUGUGAAAGCCCCCGGCUCAACUGGGGAGGGUCACGCGAUACUGAUCGACUCGAAGGCAGGAGAGGGAAGUGGAAUUCCCGGUGUAGUGGUGAAAUGCGCAGAUAUCAGGAAGAACACCCGUGGCGAAGGCGGUUCUCUGGGACGGUACUGACGCUGAGACGCGAAAGCGUGGGGAGCGAACAGG
This 253-nucleotide ribosomal RNA is filed under the name uncultured bacterium. Its description in RNAcentral is "partial 16S ribosomal RNA". It matches the Rfam family "Bacterial small subunit ribosomal RNA", at positions 524 to 776 of the family's 1533-position model. The record is from RNAcentral.